GUCGAACGAUGAUCCCAGCUUGCUGGGGGAUUAGUGGCGAACGGGUGAGUAACACGUGAGUAACCUGCCCUUAACUCUGGGAUAAGCCUGGGAAACUGGGUCUAAUACCGGAUAUGACUCCUCAUCGCAUGGUGGGGGGUGGAAAGCUUUUUGUGGUUUUGGAUGGACUCGCGGCCUAUCAGCUUGUUGGUGAGGUAAUGGCUCACCAAGGCGACGACGGGUAGCCGGCCUGAGAGGGUGACCGGCCACACUGGGACUGAGACACGGCCCAGACUCCUACGGGAGGCAGCAGUGGGGAAUAUUGCACAAUGGGCGAAAGCCUGAUGCAGCGACGCCGCGUGAGGGAUGACGGCCUUCGGGUUGUAAACCUCUUUCAGUAGGGAAGAAGCGAAAGUGACGGUACCUGCAGAAGAAGCGCCGGCUAACUACGUGCCAGCAGCCGCGGUAAUACGUAGGGCGCAAGCGUUAUCCGGAAUUAUUGGGCGUAAAGAGCUCGUAGGCGGUUUGUCGCGUCUGCCGUGAAAGUCCGGGGCUCAACUCCGGAUCUGCGGUGGGUACGGGCAGACUAGAGUGAUGUAGGGGAGACUGGAAUUCCUGGUGUAGCGGUGAAAUGCGCAGAUAUCAGGAGGAACACCGAUGGCGAAGGCAGGUCUCUGGGCAUUAACUGACGCUGAGGAGCGAAAGCAUGGGGAGCGAACAGGAUUAGAUACCCU
RNAcentral lists this ribosomal RNA (713 nucleotides) under Arthrobacter sp. Its description in RNAcentral is "bacterial SSU rRNA". It matches the Rfam family "Bacterial small subunit ribosomal RNA", at positions 61 to 788 of the family's 1533-position model. The record is from RNAcentral. Lineage: Bacteria; Bacillati; Actinomycetota; Actinomycetes; Micrococcales; Micrococcaceae.